Molecule: unclassified non-coding RNA, 263 nt
Filed under: plant metagenome
Description: partial contains small subunit ribosomal RNA, internal transcribed spacer 1, and 5.8S ribosomal RNA
Source: RNAcentral
UUUCCGUAGGCGAACCUGCGGAAGGAUCAUUAUUGUAUAGCCGAGGUGCGAGGGCUGUCGCUGACCCGAAAGGUCGUGCACGCCCGAGUGCCCUCACACACAUCCAUCUCACCCCUAUGUGCACCACCGCGUGGGUCCCCCUUUGGCUUGUUCGGAGGGGGGCUUACGUUUUCACACAAACUUUGUAUGCAGUGUAGAAUGUAUUUUUUGUUUUUGCGAUCACGCAAUCAAUACAACUUUCAACAACGGAUCUCUUGGCUCUC